RNAcentral lists this ribosomal RNA (585 nucleotides) under uncultured Pseudoalteromonas sp. Its description in RNAcentral is "bacterial SSU rRNA". It matches the Rfam family "Bacterial small subunit ribosomal RNA", at positions 338 to 916 of the family's 1533-position model. Lineage: Bacteria; Pseudomonadati; Pseudomonadota; Gammaproteobacteria; Alteromonadales; Pseudoalteromonadaceae. The record is from RNAcentral.
CCUACGGGAGGCAGCAGCGGGGAAUAUUGCACAAUGGGCGCAAGCCUGAUGCAGCCAUGCCGCGUGUGUGAAGAAGGCCUUCGGGUUGUAAAGCACUUUCAGUAAGGAGGAAAGGUUAAGUGUUAAUAGCGCUUAGCUGUGACGUUACUUACAGAAGAAGCACCGGCUAACUCCGUGCCAGCAGCCGCGGUAAUACGGAGGGUGCGAGCGUUAAUCGGAAUUACUGGGCGUAAAGCGUACGCAGGCGGUUUGUUAAGCGAGAUGUGAAAGCCCCGGGCUCAACCUGGGAACUGCAUUUCGAACUGGCAAACUAGAGUGUGAUAGAGGGUGGUAGAAUUUCAGGUGUAGCGGUGAAAUGCGUAGAGAUCUGAAGGAAUACCGAUGGCGAAGGCAGCCACCUGGGUCAACACUGACGCUCAUGUACGAAAGCGUGGGGAGCAAACAGGAUUAGAUACCCUGGUAGUCCACGCCGUAAACGAUGUCUACUAGAAGCUCGGGUCUUCGGACUUGUUUUUCAAAGCUAACGCAUUAAGUAGACCGCCUGGGGAGUACGGCCGCAAGGUUAAAACUCAAAGGAAUUGACGG